This is a long non-coding RNA of Saccostrea cuccullata (small rock oyster), 3429 nucleotides long. RefSeq lists it as uncharacterized. The transcript is spliced from 4 exons. The record is from RefSeq and is a predicted model, not a curated record. NCBI's taxonomy places the organism in Eukaryota, Metazoa, Mollusca, Bivalvia, Ostreida, Ostreidae.
AAACAAGGAAUGUGGAGCUAAUGCAUGCUGCUAAGGAUGGAAAGGUCUUGUGUUUAUUGGUUGUGCCUGAGACACCAGUCACAGUUGUACCUUAUUUCCAUUUUAGAGGGAGUCUAUAUACAUUUGAGGUGAGCGACAGAUUUGAUUGUGAAGAUGGAUGACUUUCAGAUGUUGUGAUGAAGAUUGUUGAAAGGGAUUAUCAACAUAGAACCAAUCCAUAUGAUUGGGCAAGUCAGGUGAGGAUUGGACUUCAACGUGUAAUCAAGAAAUGUUUAUACAUAAUGUGUGAUGGUGACUGCACUGUAAUACAUGUGUCUUAUUUGUUACGAAUAAUUCGUUUCAUUUUAUUAUGGAAAUUUAUCCGUCCCAACACUGGCAAAAAUAUAGUUAAUCUGACUUCAAAAUUCCUUCCUCUGUUCCCCCAAGUACAUGUAACACUCUUCGCUCUCAUUUUUAAAAAAUUUUCAUUGUAUAUUUUUUGUACAAGCAAGGAAUGUGGAGCUAAUGCAUGCUGCUAAGGAUGGAAAGGUCUUGUGUUUAUUGGUUGUGCCUGAGACACCAGUCACAGUUGUAUCUUAUUUCCAUUUUAGGGAGUCUAUAUACAUUUGAGGUGAGCGGCAGAUUUAAUUUUGAAGAUGGGUGACAUUCAGAUGUUGUGAUGAAGAUUGUUGAAAGGGAUUAUCAACAUAGAACCAAUCCAUAUGAAUGGGCAAGUCAGGACUUGUACAACACCUGAGUACCUAGAUGACUGUUGAACUAAUUGGUGAACAAGACAAGAUGUCAGAGACGGGAAUCCAAUACAGAUGCCAUGAUCAAGAAUAUAUACUCAUUAAUGAUAUGAUCAAGAAUAUGUAAACUUGUAACGAUUUAGAAUAUCUUAUCUGUAAAUCACUCUUCAUUACUUAAUUGUUCACACAUGAUCAUCUACACUUAUGACAUAAAUUUUAUCUGUAUAUUAAUCGCCCCUCUUAUCUAUACCCCCUGCUGAUCGUAAUGACCUGUGUAUUGACUCCUGAUCUUAAGGAUCUUGUAAUGUGCUCCUGAUUGUCAGGAGCGGAUCUUGAGUAUAUAUAUAGUGCGACAGAACUUUAGAAUAAGAUAGGAAGAUGGAAAUGUAGAAGACUUAGUAGAUAGAACUGUUAGAGAUAUAUAAAGUUACUCACUUACUUGGAAUAUUACCUAAUAUUUCUUGGAUUUGAAUGUACAUGCAAUUGUUUUACUUGGAUUUUAUUUUUUGUGAAUUUUUUUUCCUGAAUGUUUCUAUUUGUGAUGUGCUGUUAAGUAAACUGUAGACUAGAAUUUCGGCAUCUAUUUUCAAGAUAUGAGAAACAAGGAUAAAUUAAUUUAUUCAUGCAAACUGAUAUUAUGAAAUAUGUUGUAAGACCGCUCGGAUGGAUGUCCUGAUCAAGAAUAUACACUGUUAUCGAUGAUUUGAUCAAGAAUAUGUAAACUAAGAAAUAUCUUGGAGAUUUAUAGAUGAACAUGCAAGCAUUCAUGAUUUUGAAUGUUAUUCAGCCAGUGAGUUUUUGCACAAAUUUAAUUUUCAGUACAGUAAUUUAAACUGGAUGUGUAAUUUUCAGUACAGUUAUGUAAAAUGAAUAUAUGUUACUUAUUAUGAUUGUCAAAUUCUCAACAGUACAUAAUUGUAGUUUAUUUAUACGAUCACUCUUGCAGAACAAAACACGCAGAACUUUUUUUUCUCUGUGUGCAUCAUACACUUGUAAAUGUUUUACACCACCAUGUUUACAUAUUUUACACUGUUGACGUAAAUCGAGCACACACAUGAAAAUGCGUAUAGCUGGAUACAUGCAAACAUGCAUCUACCAUAACCUAUUACAUAUUUUCCAAGGUGUUUGAAGUCGAGCACAUACAUGAAAAUGUGUGAAGCUGGACAACAUACACAAAUACAGAUGCAUCUGCCACAACCUAUUACAUAUUUUCCAAGGCGUGUGAAGUCGAGCACAUACAUGAAAAUGUGUGAAGCUGGACACAUAUGCAAACACACAAGCAUCUACCACAACCUAUUACAUAUUUUCCAAGGUGUGUGAAGUCGAGCACAUACAUGAAAGUGUGUGAAGCUGGACACAUACACAUAUACCACAGACAUAAAAACAUAAUCUAAACUAAGUCAGGCACAGACAGGCUCAUUGGGUGAAGCUGGACUCAUACAUGAUCUCAUGCAUUUUGCAAAAUGCAUCCUCACAUAUAUAUUCUAAUAGAUUUUUCAUCAUUUUUUGUGUUUGUGAAUAUGUAAAAUGCAUCAUUUUGCAUUACAAGUUGAAGAUUUUAUUCACCUGUAUAUAAGCGCAAAUAAAAUAGCCUUUUAUGUAAUUUUUUUUACUUUUGAAUUCAAUUCAAACUGCAAAGUUUAUUUUAUAUAUGUACAUGCACCAUAAAGAAUAACGUAAAUAAUAUUGUACCGGUAUUAUAUUUUAAAGUGAAAUGGGACCUCCAUUUCAUAAGCAGAAAUGUGAAAUUUAUACUUGUCAUCAGUAUUUUUUUUUAAUUUUGUCUCACAUGUAUCUGAAUGUUUAAAGGAAAACAAAAGUCAAAGAUAGCUCAAUAUAAUGUUUAUAUUCAAGAUCAUAACUGGAGAUUUUUUGUGCUGUAUAUCUGACUCAUCAUAUGAUGAUGAGCCAAAAUACAGAAUACUUUAGGUCAUUUUUGUUUGGAAAAUGAAAAUUAUCAAUAUGCCAAUUUUUCCCAUUGUUAUAUUAUUAAUUAAUAUAUUAUUAAUAUCAAUGUACAUAUAAAAAAUCUAUGCCAUCCAAUCCAGAGAGUUGUAGGCAAUCCUGGUGCAGAUAAUAUUUUUUUUUACCGUGUUUCGUAGUAGAGCGGGAACACAUUGUAUGAGAGGAAUGUAUAUUAAUGGUUUUGGUUGUAUAUGUGGGCGUGGCCAAAGGAAGGCCAAUGAGAAAUGAGUAUUCAGUAAGGUGUUCAAAUCAUUCUAAGCCAGUGCUCUUCAAUACACACACAUUUUUUUUUCUUGCUUUAUACAUGUAUAUAAUAUAUAUGUCAUAUUUGUAUAAAUAUACUGGUAAUGGAAAUAACAAAACUGUUGAAAUGUAUUUUAAUUUGGAUUUUUUCAUACAUGCAAAUAUUAUAGGGUGUUCGCGCAUUUUUAACUAUUGCACUGAAUGCACGUCCGGCAUUCUCCCUUGAGACAUUAUUUACAUAGCGACGGACACAGGUUUUCCAUAGUUAACCAUCUAUGGUUUUUGCUUGGGCGGUUUUUAAUGUCUGUGAUAGGGGUAUAAUUUAUUACAAGUAAAAUAUUUUACAAAUGCAUUCCAGUGCUUUAUUGUUUCACAUUCAAUGUAAUGUAAGUUAAAUAUGUAUCAAAAUAAACGCCAGCUGCUCCAACUAAGCUAACCUGGCUUACAGCAUAGUUGUUGUAUUAUUUGAGGUGUAGUCUGUCAGAUAAUGAUG